CUACGGGAGGCUGCAGUGGGGAAUAUUGGACAAUGGGCACAAGCCUGAUCCAGCAAUGCCGCGUGUGUGAAGAAGGCCUUCGGGUUGUAAAGCACUUUAAGUUGGGAAGAAAAAACUCGCUCUAACACAGUGAGUCUUGACGGUACCGACAGAAUAAGCACCGGCUAACUCUGUGCCAGCAGCCGCGGUAAUACAGAGGGUGCAAGCGUUAAUCGGAUUUACUGGGCGUAAAGCGUGCGUAGGCGGUUCGUUAAGUCGAUUGUGAAAGCCCUGGGCUUAACCUGGGAAUUGCAGUCGAUACUGGCGGACUAGAGAACGGUAGAGGGAGGCGGAACUCCAGGUGUAGCGGUGAAAUGCGUAGAUAUCUGGAAGAACACCGAUGGCGAAGGCAACCUCCUGGGCCUGUUCUGACGCUGAGGCACGAAAGCGUGGGUAGCAAACAGGAUUAGAUACCCCUGUAGUC
Molecule: ribosomal RNA, 463 nt
Filed under: uncultured bacterium
Lineage: Bacteria
Description: partial 16S ribosomal RNA
Rfam family: Bacterial small subunit ribosomal RNA
Source: RNAcentral